GACAGAGGGUGCAAACGUUGUUCGGAAUUACUGGGCGUAAAGCGCGUGUAGGCGGCCCGGUAAGUCCGCUGUGAAAGUCGGGGGCUCAACCCUCGGAUGCCGGUGGAUACUGUCGGGCUAGAGUGCGGGAGAGGCGAGUGGAAUUCCUGGUGUAGCGGUGAAAUGCGCAGAUAUCAGGAGGAACACCAAUUGCGAAGGCAGCUCGCUGGAACGUUACUGACGCUGAGACGCGAAAGCGUGGGGAGCAAACAGG
RNAcentral lists this ribosomal RNA (253 nucleotides) under uncultured bacterium. RNAcentral describes it as "partial 16S ribosomal RNA". It matches the Rfam family "Bacterial small subunit ribosomal RNA", at positions 524 to 776 of the family's 1533-position model. The record is from RNAcentral.